Molecule: small RNA, 598 nt
Filed under: Pongo abelii (Sumatran orangutan)
Lineage: Eukaryota; Metazoa; Chordata; Mammalia; Primates; Hominidae
Description: retained intron
Source: RNAcentral
ACACCAGUCCGUGCCGCCGUCCCGCCCGCCAGCGCCUCAGCGAGGAAGCAGCGCGCAGCCCGCGGCCCAGCGCACCCGCAGCAGCGCCCGCAGCUCGCCCGCGCCAUGUUCCAGGCGGCCGAGCGCCCCCAGGAGUGGGCCAUGGAGGGCCCCCGCGACGGGCUGAAGAAGGAGCGGCUACUGGACGACCGCCACGACAGCGGCCUGGACUCCAUGAAGGACGAGGAGUACGAGCAGAUGGUCAAGGAGCUGCAGGAGAUCCGCCUCGAGCCGCAGGAGGUGCCGCGCGGCGCGGAGCCCUGGAAGCAGCAGCUCACCGAGGACGGGGACUCGUUCCUGCACUUGGCCAUCAUCCAUGAAGAAAAGGCACUGACCAUGGAAGUGAUCCGCCAGGUGAAGGGAGACCUGGCCUUCCUCAACUUCCAGAACAACCUGCAGCAGGUGCGCCGCUUGCUGGCCCGGGCUCUCUCUGACCCUGGGACGUAGCUGAUGUAGCAGAGUCACCCCAGAUCCUUUCUGAAUUCAGGGCCACUGAGCACUAUUCACCCUCACCUUUUACUUCACAUCAGCCCACAUCCUAGAGAGUGAAGGAAAUUCC